GUCUACGGUCAUGCCACCCUGAACAAGCCUGAUCCCAUCUGAUCUUGGAAGCUAAGCAGGGUCAGGCCUGGUUAGUACUUGGAUGGGAGACCACCUAGGAAGACCAAGUGCUGUAGGUA
Molecule: ribosomal RNA, 119 nt
Filed under: Pteropus alecto (black flying fox)
Lineage: Eukaryota; Metazoa; Chordata; Mammalia; Chiroptera; Pteropodidae
Also listed under: 1 other name
Source: RNAcentral